GUAGUUUCCGGGGUUGGGUACCGAAACCCGGUGCUAAUAUGGCACCGGUGCCUAAACGACCGGUAUCUACCGCACCAAUUUGCAACGCA
This is a long non-coding RNA of Etheostoma cragini (Arkansas darter), 89 nucleotides long. RefSeq lists it as uncharacterized. NCBI's taxonomy places the organism in Eukaryota, Metazoa, Chordata, Actinopteri, Perciformes, Percidae. The transcript has 3 exons. The record is from RefSeq and is a predicted model, not a curated record.